CUAGGCUCAUGCCUGCUUUGGUCAGUAGAAUACAGCUGAAGUGAUGUUGUACCAGUUUUGCGUCUGGUCUUUACAAGCACUGGUAGCUUCAACUUUCUCCUUCUUGGUACUCACCCACCAUGUUGUAAGGAAACCCAAACAGCCACGUGGAAGACAGUUCUAGUUGAGCUCCCAGCCCAGAGCCUAUCCCAACUCUCCAGCCAUACCCUGACUUCCUUCAGCAAAGAGACAGCUUCUGAUUCAUGUUCGUCUCACCAUAAUCAGUCCUUGAAGGCUCACCUAUCCUCGUGGCUGCAGCCAUUUCCCUCUCUGCAGAUACUUCCAAAAGUUACACUAGAUGUUAACUGAGCACUAAGGACACUACGUGAAAGACUGGAGUACAAACAUCCAAAGGACUGAAGAAUUUGAAGAGCACUGAAUGUGGGAGAUAGGACAGAGGAAAGGAGUCAAAUGUCUCCAAGAAACGAAGCCUGUGUGCCCUGGAGAAUGAAGAAGCAUCAUCAAAUCGGGGAGACUGAAGGAGGAAUCGGUUUUCAGAGAAAAACAAUUUAUAUUGUCUUAGCUGUGUUAGGUGGCAUACUAUUACAUUCAAGUGAAGCUGUGUAAUAGACAGAGAUGACAAAUUUUAUUCAUUUAUGAAUGCCCCCCAAAAUAUAUAUAUAGUUUUUGCCCUCAUGUCUCUUAUUGGGAUGACAGACAUAAAUCAAAGAAUUCCAUAAAUAAAUAUUAAAAUACAAUUUGUGAUAAAUGCUACAAAGUGGUACAUAUUCAUAUGGAAGCAUAAAGAGAACUGACCCGCUUGAGGAAGCUGGCAGUGAGAGCUGAAGGUAAGAGCAAGAGUUGACUAGGAGACAAGAUGGGGAAAGUUCUAGGCAGAAGGAACAGCAUGUUCCAAAGCCAACAGCAUAGAGACAGAAAGUAGAUUAGUGAGUGCCAGGGGGUGGUGGGGAGCAGAGAAGAAGAAGGGGUGUCUGCUCUUGGGUAUGGAGUUUCUCUUUGAGGCAAUGAAAAUGCUCUGGAAUGAGAUAGUGGUAACAGUUGCACAACUUUGUGAACAUACUAAAAUCCACUGAAUUGCAUACUUUAAAGGGGUAAAUUGUGUGGUAAGCGAAUUAUAUUUCAAUUUUUAGAGAUAAAGAUAAAUGCAAGUUAACAAUAACCAGGAAAAA
Molecule: long non-coding RNA, 1169 nt
Filed under: Homo sapiens (human)
Lineage: Eukaryota; Metazoa; Chordata; Mammalia; Primates; Hominidae
Description: HSALNT0219254
Source: RNAcentral